CUUAGAGUAAAUAACGAAGAGAUCUUUUAUUCAUUCUCUUCCUCCCCAGACCUUCGCCACCAUCACUACACUGUCUCCAUCUAUCUCUCCGGCACUUUCAGUUCUCUCUCCGGCACUUCCCGUUCAAUCACCAACAUAAUCACGAGCCGACUGUAUUUAUGCUUUCAAAUAUAUACCAUCACUAGGUCAAGAAUUUGGUUAAUUGUGGGGCUGUUUUUUCUUGGGCUAUUGAAUUUGCUCAAAUUAUUGGCUCUGAUUUGAGAUGAUUGUUGAAUUUGUUGAUUGAUGAAUUUACUUGGUUUGCUGUUGAUUGGAGUCUGAGAUGAUUGUUUGGUGGAAUUUAAAGAUGAGAGAAACAAUGGAUUCUAGGGUUCUAUUAUGACUGAGGAAUUGAUUGAUGAUGUUGUCGAGAAGAACAAUGGAUUUGGUUCUAUUGUGGUCAGUGAAGAUUUGGGGAUUCGUGGUUUCUUUCAUGAACAAAAAUCAGGGAAAGAAUAAGGGAAUGGUGCUUGUCAUGGGUAUGAGAAUGGCAGAGUUUGAAGUGAAAGACAGAGCUAUUGGUGAAGACUCCUUCGCUUCAUUAAUCUCCAAAUGAUGUGAAUUCUUUCUGAUUCAAUCUUUUCAGUGAUUGUUAAUGUUUGAUUUCAAUUAAAGUGAUUGGGGUAUUCUUGUAAACUCAUAAUUUUAGAGUAUUUUUAUUUUAUAAAACUAA
This is a long non-coding RNA of Papaver somniferum (opium poppy), 712 nucleotides long. RefSeq lists it as uncharacterized. The transcript is spliced from 2 exons. Lineage: Eukaryota; Viridiplantae; Streptophyta; Magnoliopsida; Ranunculales; Papaveraceae. The record is from RefSeq and is a predicted model, not a curated record.